Molecule: non-coding RNA, 100 nt
Organism: Acanthosepion pharaonis
Lineage: Eukaryota; Metazoa; Mollusca; Cephalopoda; Sepiida; Sepiidae
Source: the annotation of a GenBank genome assembly
CAUUGAAACACUUGUUCCCGUACGAUCACCGAACAUAAGCAGCGUCGAGCCUGGUCAGAACCUAGAUAGGUGACCACUUGGGAAUACCAGGUACUGUAAG